Molecule: ribosomal RNA, 696 nt
Filed under: bacterium
Lineage: Bacteria
Description: bacterial SSU rRNA
Rfam family: Bacterial small subunit ribosomal RNA
Source: RNAcentral
GCGUGUAGCAGUGAAAUAUAGUAGAAAUGUGCAGGAACGCCGAUGGCGGAUGUCAGCCCCCUGGCUCAACAUUAGCGCUCAUACAGUGGAGAGUGGGCAGCAUAAAAGAUUAUAGACCUUGGUAGUGCACGCCCUAAACGAUGUGAGCUAGGUGUUGGGGAUUUUUUUCGUUAGUAACGUAGCUCACGAAUGAACUCGCCUGCGUAGGGAGUACGGUCGCAAGAUUAUAACACAAAGGAAUUGGCGGCCACCCGCACAACCGGUGAAUCAUGUGGAUUAAUUCCAAGCAACAGAACAAACCUUACCUACCCUUUACAUGGUCGGAAUUCAGAUAAGAGAUGGCAGUGGUGGCAAGUGACCCGGGGCACAGGUGCGGCAUGGCUGUGGUCAGUUCGUGUCGUGAGAUGUUGGGUUAAGUACCGCAACCAGCGCAACCCUUGUCCUUAGUUGUUACGCAAGGGCUCUUUAAGGAGUCUGCCGGUGACAAACCGGAGAAAGGUGGGGAUAGCGUCAAGUCCUCAUGCCCCUUAUGGGUAGGGCUUCACACGUCAUACAAUGGUGGGAACAGAGGGUUGACAACCCGAGAGGGGGAGAUAAUCCCAAAAAACCGAUCGUAGUCCGGAUUGCACUAUGCAACUCGAGUGCAAAAGAGGAAUCGAGAGUAAUCACGGAUCAGCAUAUCCCGGUAAAUACGUU